This 405-nucleotide long non-coding RNA is filed under the name Paramuricea clavata. The record is from RNAcentral. Lineage: Eukaryota; Metazoa; Cnidaria; Anthozoa; Malacalcyonacea; Plexauridae.
GAGGAAAUCAACCUAUAGCUAUCCUUGAAUCUUGGCAUCAGGUGACAUUGCAUCCUUGGACCCAUUGUACAUUGCUGCCGUGGGGCAAAUUUACUUGCGUUUUGCUGGUAAAAAUAUUCCACAUACUUAUUGCUACAUUCCAUGUUCUAAAUAUGGAAUACACUCCAGGUGUUUCGAGUGUUUAUGCAUUUCUACAAUCUAGAAGCUGUCACCUUAAACCGCCCUGCUGAUGCCGAGAACAAAAUUUCUGUACAACAACUUUUAAGUGAGCUUGGACUCUGAAAUUAAUCGUGAUAAAUACUUAGUUCAUAUAAAUUCAUGCAUGUUAAAGGUAUUUCUUGUCAGCGAGUAAUAUAUAAUAAUAACCAAUUUUGAACCUAUAUUUCUCUUUUGUGUGUGUCUUAA